AGAACGAACGCUGGCGGCAUGCCUAACACAUGCAAGUCGAACGCUCUUGGGGCUUCGGUUCCAAGGGAGUGGCGCACGGGUGAGUAGCGCGUGGGAACCUGCCCUGUUGUGGGGGAUAACCGAGGGAAACUUCGGCUAAUACCGCAUAAGCCGGUUGUCUUGAAAGAGAUGGCCGGGAAAGAUUUAUCGCGACAGGAGGGGCCCGCGUCGGAUUAGCUAGUUGGUGGGUAACGCCACCAAGGCAGUGAUCCGUAGCUGGUCUGAGAGGAUGAUCAGCCACACUGGGACUGAGACACGGCCCAGACUCCUACGGGAGGCAGCAGUGGGGAAUAUUGGACAAUGGGCGAAAGCCUGAUCCAGCAAUGCCGCGUGGGUGAAGAAGGUCUUCGGAUUGUAAAGCCCUUUCGACGGGGACGAUGAUGACGGUACCCGUAGAGAAGCCCCGGCUAACUUCGUGCCAGCAGCCGC
This 468-nucleotide ribosomal RNA is filed under the name uncultured bacterium. Its description in RNAcentral is "SSU rRNA". It matches the Rfam family "Bacterial small subunit ribosomal RNA", at positions 26 to 518 of the family's 1533-position model. The record is from RNAcentral.